UACGAAGGGGGGCGAGCGUUGUUCGGAAUUACUGGGCGUAAAGGGCGCGUAGGCGGCGACCCAAGUCAGAUGUGAAAGUCCUGGGCUUAACCUGGGGACUGCAUUUGAUACUGGGUUGCUUGAAUUCGGGAGAGGAUAGCGGAAUUCCCAGUGUAGAGGUGAAAUUCGUAGAUAUUGGGAAGAACACCGGUGGCGAAGGCGGCUAUCUGGACCGACAUUGACGCUGAGGCGCGAAAGCAUGGGGAGCGAACAGG
This 254-nucleotide ribosomal RNA is filed under the name uncultured bacterium. RNAcentral's name for it is "partial 16S ribosomal RNA". It matches the Rfam family "Bacterial small subunit ribosomal RNA", at positions 524 to 776 of the family's 1533-position model. The record is from RNAcentral.